RNAcentral lists this ribosomal RNA (1843 nucleotides) under Salmonella enterica subsp. enterica serovar Enteritidis. RNAcentral's name for it is "partial 23S ribosomal RNA". It matches the Rfam family "Bacterial large subunit ribosomal RNA", at positions 977 to 2803 of the family's 2925-position model. The record is from RNAcentral. Lineage: Bacteria; Pseudomonadati; Pseudomonadota; Gammaproteobacteria; Enterobacterales; Enterobacteriaceae.
ACGGGAGACACACGGCGGGUGCUAACGUCCGUCGUGAAGAGGGAAACAACCCAGACCGCCAGCUAAGGUCCCAAAGUCAUGGUUAAGUGGGAAACGAUGUGGGAAGGCCCAGACAGCCAGGAUGUUGGCUUAGAAGCAGCCAUCAUUUAAAGAAAGCGUAAUAGCUCACUGGUCGAGUCGGCCUGCGCGGAAGAUGUAACGGGGCUAAACCAUGCACCGAAGCUGCGGCAGCGACACUGUGUGUUGUUGGGUAGGGGAGCGUUCUGUAAGCCUGUGAAGGUGUGUCGUGAGGCAUGCUGGAGGUAUCAGAAGUGCGAAUGCUGACAUAAGUAACGAUAAAGCGGGUGAAAAGCCCGCUCGCCGGAAGACCAAGGGUUCCUGUCCAACGUUAAUCGGGGCAGGGUGAGUCGACCCCUAAGGCGAGGCCGAAAGGCGUAGUCGAUGGGAAACGGGUUAAUAUUCCCGUACUUGGUGUUACUGCGAAGGGGGGACGGAGAAGGCUAUGUUGGCCGGGCGACGGUUGUCCCGGUUUAAGCGUGUAGGUGUGUGUUCCAGGUAAAUCCGGUUCACUUUAACACUGAGGCGUGACGACGAGGCACUACGGUGCUGAAGCAACAAAUGCCCUGCUUCCAGGAAAAGCCUCUAAGCAUCAGGUAACAUCAAAUCGUACCCCAAACCGACACAGGUGGUCAGGUAGAGAAUACCAAGGCGCUUGAGAGAACUCGGGUGAAGGAACUAGGCAAAAUGGUGCCGUAACUUCGGGAGAAGGCACGCUGACACGUAGGUGAAGUGAUUUACUCAUGGAGCUGAAGUCAGUCGAAGAUACCAGCUGGCUGCAACUGUUUAUUAAAAACACAGCACUGUGCAAACACGAAAGUGGACGUAUACGGUGUGACGCCUGCCCGGUGCCGGAAGGUUAAUUGAUGGGGUCAGCGCAAGCGAAGCUCCUGAUCGAAGCCCCGGUAAACGGCGGCCGUAACUAUAACGGUCCUAAGGUAGCGAAAUUCCUUGUCGGGUAAGUUCCGACCUGCACGAAUGGCGUAAUGAUGGCCAGGCUGUCUCCACCCGAGACUCAGUGAAAUUGAACUCGCUGUGAAGAUGCAGUGUACCCGCGGCAAGACGGAAAGACCCCGUGAACCUUUACUAUAGCUUGACACUGAACAUUGAGCCUUGAUGUGUAGGAUAGGUGGGAGGCUUUGAAGUGUGGACGCCAGUCUGCAUGGAGCCGACCUUGAAAUACCACCCUUUAAUGUUUGAUGUUCUAACGUGGACCCGUUACCCGGGUUGCGGACAGUGUCUGGUGGGUAGUUUGACUGGGGCGGUCUCCUCCUAAAGAGUAACGGAGGAGCACGAAGGUUGGCUAAUCCUGGUCGGACAUCAGGAGGUUAGUGCAAUGGCAUAAGCCAGCUUGACUGCGAGCGUGACGGCGCGAGCAGGUGCGAAAGCAGGUCAUAGUGAUCCGGUGGUUCUGAAUGGAAGGGCCAUCGCUCAACGGAUAAAAGGUACUCCGGGGAUAACAGGCUGAUACCGCCCAAGAGUUCAUAUCGACGGCGGUGUUUGGCACCUCGAUGUCGGCUCAUCACAUCCUGGGGCUGAAGUAGGUCCCAAGGGUAUGGCUGUUCGCCAUUUAAAGUGGUACGCGAGCUGGGUUUAGAACGUCGUGAGACAGUUCGGUCCCUAUCUGCCGUGGGCGCUGGAGAACUGAGGGGGGCUGCUCCUAGUACGAGAGGACCGGAGUGGACGCAUCACUGGUGUUCGGGUUGUCAUGCCAAUGGCACUGCCCGGUAGCUAAAUGCGGAAGAGAUAAGUGCUGAAAGCAUCUAAGCACGAAACUUGCCCCGAG